CUGUCCAGGGUUCUGUGAGAUUGACUCAUAGAACCCUGGUACUAUUCAAGCGCCUCAAUCCUUUUGCCAUGUUAGCUGUCAUGAUCCUCUGACGAUUGCUUUCUAAUCAUUUUUGGGCUCUUUAUUGUCAUUAAGGGCUUUCCAUAUAAGUUUGUUGCACUCUGAUAGUCUGGGAGAGUUAAAUGAAGAACAGAGACACAGCCAAUCACAGAGCAGGGCUACAGGGAUCAGAACCAUAGGAGCCAAAAUCAAAGAGGACACAACCACAGGGAUCAAAGCCACAGGGUCCAGAACCAAGAAGAACAGAGUCGCAGGGACCACAACCAGAGAGAGCAGAACAUCAGGGACCAGAACCCUCUGUGUCAGCUGCAUGUUCAGACAGAAGAGUAAAUACAAAGUCUGGGUUUUCCUUCAUUCUACAGUCAGAGGAGGAGCCAACAACCAGGACAGUAGAGCGACAGAUCGAUUCUUUAAAUGCAACUUUAACUACGGAAUUGGCCAGGUUUUGAUGGCGAGCUAGGAGCCCUGUCAACUCUCCAGGAUAACAGCCUGAAGAAUUUCCCCCGGACCUCAAAUGAACUGAACCUCCUUCACUUUGUUGGUCUGGUUGGAGACUCCCUUGAGCAGCCGCCCUCCUGUUGUUUUCCAUUCUGUUUCCAACAACAUUUGGCUGAACGGCUCAUCCACUUAAACUCUCGUUCCAUCCCCAAUACCCAUGGUCAAUUUUCCCUCUGGGCAUUACGCUGGGCCUGUGGGCUAAUUGCGUCUUGGCAUCUGGGUACAAAUCUGAACUUUUGCGUUACAUUCAGAAAAAAAAUACUCUGAACAUUGCAUUUAAUUGAAUUAACUUUGAACUGAUGAAUUAAUUCUGAAUUGACCAACUGUGUUAUGUAUAUGA
Molecule: long non-coding RNA, 898 nt
Organism: Girardinichthys multiradiatus
Lineage: Eukaryota; Metazoa; Chordata; Actinopteri; Cyprinodontiformes; Goodeidae
Exons: 3
Source: RefSeq, a predicted model, not a curated record